UAUGGGGGGAGCAAGCGUUGUUCGGAUUUACUGGGCGUAAAGGGCGCGUAGGCGGCGCAACAAGUCACUUGUGAAAUCUCCGGGCUUAACCCGGAGCGGCCAAGUGAUACUGUCGUGCUAGAGUGCGGAAGGGGCUACUGGAAUUCUCGGUGUAGCGGUGAAAUGCGUAGAUAUCGAGAGGAACACCUGCGGCGAAGGCGGGUAGCUGGGCCGACACUGACGCUGAGGCGCGAAAGCCAGGGGAGCGAACGGG
This 253-nucleotide ribosomal RNA is filed under the name uncultured bacterium. RNAcentral's name for it is "partial 16S ribosomal RNA". It matches the Rfam family "Bacterial small subunit ribosomal RNA", at positions 524 to 776 of the family's 1533-position model. The record is from RNAcentral.